Molecule: ribosomal RNA, 703 nt
Filed under: unidentified archaeon
Lineage: Archaea
Description: bacterial SSU rRNA
Rfam family: Archaeal small subunit ribosomal RNA
Source: RNAcentral
UACAAUGCUGGCAACAGCGAUAAGGGAACCUCGAGUGCCAGGUUACAAAUCCGGCUGUCGAGAUGCCUAAAAAAGCAUUUCAUAGCAAGGGCCGGGCAAGACCGGUGCCAGCCGCCGCGGUAACACCGGCGGCUCGAGUGGUAACCGUUAUUAUUGGGUCUAAAGGGUCUGUAGCCGGCCGGAUAAGUCUCUUGAGAAAUCUGGCAGCUUAACUGUCAGGCUUUCAGGAGAUACUGUCUGGCUCGAGGCCGGGAGAGGUGAGAGGUACUUCAGGGGUAGGGGUGAAAUCUUGUAAUCCUUGAAGGACCACCAGUGGCGAAGGCGUCUCACCAGAACGGACCUGACGGCAAGGGACGAAAGCUAGGGGCACGAACCGGAUUAGAUACCCGGGUAGUCCUAGCCGUAAACGAUACUCGCUAGGUGUCGGCCACGGUGCGACCGUUGUCGGUGCCGUAGGGAAGCCGUGAAGCGAGCCACCUGGGAAGUACGGCCGCAAGGCUGAAACUUAAAGGAAUUGGCGGGGGAGCACCACAACGGGUGGAGCUUGCGGUUUAAUUGGAUUCAACGCCGGAAAUCUUACCGGGACCGACAGCAAUAUGAAGGCCAGGCUGAAGACUUUGCCGGAUUAGCUGAGAGGUGGUGCAUGGCCGUCGUCAGUUCGUACUGUGAAGCAUCCUGUUAAGUCAGGUAACGAGCGAGACCC